This 66-nucleotide transfer RNA is filed under the name Prodotiscus insignis. Its description in RNAcentral is "tRNA-Cys". Lineage: Eukaryota; Metazoa; Chordata; Aves; Piciformes; Indicatoridae. The record is from RNAcentral.
AGUUCUGUGGUGAAAUUCAUGUUGAGUUGCAAACUCAUUGAUGUGCAUUGCAGUGCACCAGGACUU